Penaeus indicus is the source of this 407-nucleotide long non-coding RNA. RefSeq lists it as uncharacterized. NCBI's taxonomy places the organism in Eukaryota, Metazoa, Arthropoda, Malacostraca, Decapoda, Penaeidae. The transcript has 2 exons. The record is from RefSeq and is a predicted model, not a curated record.
AGCUUAACGAGAUGAGCAACAACGGAGACCUCUGGGCAGUACAGGAGACCGGAAUCACAGUUGGUCAGUACAUCUGCGAAUACCUCGCUGACCAUUACUUUUUCUCGAUAAACAACCAUAAGGUAUACGGCUACAACGAGGUGUGUGGUGGUGCCUGGGAGUUCACAGGCGUGGAAUCACAACAGAUGUUAUGUUGUGACGGAGGAGAUCACGUUCACUGUAUUUCCGAAUAAAUUAUGGUGAUGAGAGUGAUGAUGGUGAUGAUGAAGGGUGACGAGCUCCGUAACGAUGAUGGUGACGAUGAUGGUGAUGAUUCUCUGUUGAAUUUUCAUCAUAUUUUUGUCGAUAUGAGUUCGGAAUAUGUGAAUCUGAUUGUGUAAUUUUUGUGAAUAAAAGUUGUGAUUAUG